AGAGCGAACGCUGGCGGCAGGCCUAACACAUGCAAGUCGAGCGCCCGUAGCAAUACGGGAGCGGCAGACGGGAUAGUAACACGUGGGAACGCGCCCUUCGGUUCGGAAUAACUCAGGGAAACUUGAGCUAAUACCGGAUACGCCCUUACGGGGAAAGAUUUAUUGCCGAAGGAACGGCCCGCGUCCGAUUAGCUAGUUGGUGAGGUAAUGGCUCACCAAGGCUACGAUCGGUAGCUGGUCUGAGAGGAUGACCAGCAUCACUGGGACUGAGACACGGCCCAGACUCCUACGGGAGGCAGCAGUGGGGAAUAUUGGACAAUGGGCGCAAGCCUGAUCCAGCCAUGCCGCGUGGAUGAUGAAGGCCUUAGGGUUGUAAAGUCCUUUUAACGGGGAAGAUAAUGACGGUACCGUAGAAUAAGCCCCGGCUAACUUCGUGCCAGCAGCCGC
This 447-nucleotide ribosomal RNA is filed under the name uncultured bacterium. RNAcentral describes it as "SSU rRNA". It matches the Rfam family "Bacterial small subunit ribosomal RNA", at positions 26 to 518 of the family's 1533-position model. The record is from RNAcentral.